This 737-nucleotide ribosomal RNA is filed under the name uncultured bacterium. RNAcentral describes it as "bacterial SSU rRNA". It matches the Rfam family "Bacterial small subunit ribosomal RNA", at positions 28 to 776 of the family's 1533-position model. The record is from RNAcentral.
GAUGAACGCUGACAGAAUGCUUUACACAUGCAAAUCUAUGUUGAAGAUUUAGCUUGCUAGAUUGGAAGCAUGGUGGACUGGUGAGUAACGUGUAAGAAACUUGCCUCUUAGACUGGGAUAACAUUUGGAAACGAAUGAUAAUACUAGAUAUUAUUACUACAUGGCAUCAUGAAGUAAUGAAAGGCUAUAAGCGCUAAGAGAGAGUCUUGCAUCCUAUUAGCUAGUUGGUGAGGUAACGGCUCACCAAGGCGAUGAUAGGUAGCCGGCCUGAGAGGGUGAACGGCCACAAGGGGACUGAGAUACGGCCCUUACUCCUACGGGAGGCAGCAGUGGGGAAUAUUGGACAAUGGAGGGAACUCUGAUCCAGCAAUUCUGUGUGCAUGAAGAAGGUUUUAGGAUUGUAAAAUGCUUUCAGCAGGGAAGAAGAAAGUGACAGUACCUGCAGAAGAAGCGACGGCUAAAUACGUGCCAGCAGCCGCGGUAAUACGUAUGUCGCAAGCGUUAUCCGGAAUUAUUGGGCUUAAAGGGCAUCUAGGCGGUAUAGCAAGUUGAAGGUGAAAAGCUGUGGCUCAACCAUAGUCUUGCCUACAAAACUGCUUUACUAGAGUACUGGAAAGGUGGGUGGAACUACACGAGUAGAGGUGAAAUUCGUAGAUAUGUGUAGGAAUGCCGAUGAUGAAGAUAACUCACUGGACAGAAACUGACGCUGAAGUGCGAAAGCUAGGGGAGCGAACAGG